CUAUAAACAAAGCCCCAUCGAAACCAUUCUGGCGCGGUGUGGGGUAAUAAGGGGUAAUAAUGUUUCAUUGGGUAGAUUGACCUACUUACACUCGCCCCUAUAAAAACGUUAACGGAUCGGUGUGGGAUUUUAGUUAUUGGGCCGUUAACGUCUUUCCGCUUUCGUGCCGGUGUGGGAUUUCCCCAAUCACGCCAGAAUCAACAUGAUAAAAUCUUUAUUAUAAAACAGUUAAAAGUAUUAUGAUGUUUUUUUUUAUUUAAUAUAAUUUAUUUUAAUUAUAAAUUUGGCUUUGUAUCACUUUUUAAAGUAAUAUUAUGAUUUAUUUAUUUAUCAAUUAGGGUUCUAUUGGUGAAUUGCCCUAACUGGUCUGGUAAAGUUUUACCCUUGCCGGUCCAGUUCUGGAAAUCCCUAAACAAAAAGGCAUUUUUUUCCCCCGCUGUACAAACUAAAAAAAAAAAACAAAAGAAAACAUACAAACAAAUGAAAAUGAAAAAAUAAAAAACACAGAUGUUUAAUUACAUAUAGAAUCUUUAACCUCAGGAGAACAUCUUGGAUCUAGAUAAAAAAAAAUUAUCUAGAUCUACAUUUUUCAUUUUAUGCAGAUUUUUUUCGACCAAUGAAAAAGAAGUAUUCUAUUUAGACCUACGUUCUUUUGUUUUAAGCGCGCAAACAAAAUAAUUAAUGAAAUCUCGUUCCAGCACUUAAUUGUCUCAUUGUUCCGGAAUACAUCGCGCCGAUCACAUCUCUCCUCGUAUUUAAUAGCGCUUAUACCUAGACAAUAGAUCUAGACUUAGAUUUUUAUUACUCAACUUGUGUGUAAAGUACAGGUAAGCCAGUUGCAAAGGCCGAAAUAUCUUUUAAUUUCUUGUAAAUAUGCCUCACACCAACAUUUUAUGCAAAUUAAAUUAGUAAUUUAAAGUAAAAUAAAUUAGUAGGAUCUAGCUAGAUCUAAUUAAAUUCAAAUCUUUUCUAUUCUCGAUCUAGAUCUAGAAUUGUGCCUGAGUUAAUUUUAAAAUAUCUAAGAUUUUUCUAGACCUAGAUUUUUUAAUUAUAAGUAUUAUGGCGAUUAUUAUUUGAAUUCAAAUUAAUGGUCUUGAUUGUUUAUAAUUAUCUAGAUCUAAUAAAAAUCUAAUCUAGAUUCUAGAUGUAUAUUUAUAAUAUUAUAGUCUAUAGAAUAGAAUCAUCACGUGUUGUGAAGUAGAUCUAAAUGUAAUAAAAUGAUUUAUUGAUUCUAGAAUCUAUAUACGCCUAGAUCAAUUAUAAAAAAAAAAAUAAUCUAAGAAAAUUAGAUCUAAAAAAUAUAAUUCAAAUAAAGUAUUUAAUAAAUAAAUUUCUAAUCUAGAUUUAGUUGUGAAAUAAACGUUACUUUGGAACUUGAUUUAGUGAAAUUUAGUCUAAGAUUAUCUUAUCUAGAGCCUAUUAUAUAUCUAGAUUAUUCUAGAUCUAGAUCUUGAUUGAGUUAAUCUAGUCACUCAGUUCUUGAAAUGUCUAGAUGUAGAUUUAGAUUAUAAUAUAGUUCUAGUUCUAGACUCUUUAAUAUAGAAUAAUAUAGAAUAUUCUAUAGAUUGAAACUAGAUUAGAUCUAUCAUCUAGUUCUAGUUUGUUUGUUUUUUUUUGGUAAUACCACUUUAAGUUUAAGUUAAAGAGCUAGGCUACUCAAAAAUUUUCACUAACAUAAAUAAAAUAAAAAUUGUCUAGACUUAAACUUCUAAAAUGCUCACUAAAAAAAGUAAAACAAACUGCUCCUAUUGGACUAAACGUCGAAAAAUCCAGACAGAAGUUGACUCUCUAUUACAAGUUAGACAAAAUCGAACUGUCCAGAAUUAUGUUCAACCAAAUUAUAGGUCUAAUUUAUCACCAGAGUCUGUCAUUCCUAUUAUUCCUAAUACUAAUAACAUAGACAUAGUUGAUGACCAAUCACAAUCUCCUGAUAUAGCACCUUUGAUAGAUUUAAAUUUUUCAUUUGAAUCAAAUGACAAUAAUGCAAGAAAUGUUUCUGCAAAUAUGCCUAGUUUAGAUAGUGAUGAUCCUGAGAAUAUUUCUUUUAGUUUUUGCGAAAGCAAUGAAAAUGGGUCUAUGAUUGAUUUUGAUUCUAUUUAUAAUUCAUCGGAGUCAGAAGAUGAUUCAGAUUGUAAUGAUGAUUUUAAAUUAGUCCUCAAAAUGUGGGCGUUAAAUAAUCAAAUAACUCACAAUGCUUUAAAAGACUUGCUUUUGGUUUUGAGAAGGUUUACCCAUUUUGACUUACCUAUAGAUCCUCGUACCUUGCUGGGUACAAAAGUAGUAGAAGGCAUAAAAGAAAAAACAGGUGGGCUUUAUUAUCACUUUGGUGUUAGCAAUGGCCUAAAUCAGCUUUUAAAAGAAAAUCCUGAACUAAUGGCUUCAAAUACAGUUUAUCUCCAAAUAAAUAUUGAUGGUUUGCCAUUGUUUAAGAGUAAUUCUUUGCAGUUGUGGCCAAUUUUAGGUUUGAUUUUGCAGUCUAAUGCUCCAUAUACAGAGCCAUUUGUCAUAGGUGUAUUUUCUGGGAAUCAAAAACCAACUGAUGUUAAUGAGUUUUUAAAAGAAUUUGUAGAUGAAAUGCUAGUUUUAUCAAAAGAUGGUUUAAAUUUUAAUGGGCAUCAUUUAAAUGUUACAAUAAAAAACUUUAUUUGUGACACUCCUGCUCGCUCUUUUGUUAAAUGUGUUAAAUCUCACAAUGGUUACUCUGGUUGUGACAAAUGUAUUACAGAGGGUACAUACAUGGAAGGUAGGAUGACCUUUCCUGAUUUAAAAGCAUCCCUCAGAAAUGAUGUUAUGUUUGAUGAAAAGCUUGAUGAAGAGCAUCAUAGGGGUGAUUCUAUUCUUUCUUCUUUAGGAUUAGGUAUGGUUUCAGCUUUUCCAUUAGAUUACAUGCAUUUGAUAUGUCUUGGUAUUAUGAAAAAAUUGCUUUCAUACUGGACAAAAGGGCCACUUAAUGUUCGAAUAGGGCGUCAGAUAAAAUGUGCGAUAGAUGCAUCAUUAUUGUCUUUUGUACCUUAUAUACCAAAAGAAUUUUCGCGAAAGCCAAGGUCCUUGGUAGAAUUAGAUAGGUGGAAGGCAACUGAGUUAAGAUUGUUUUUAUUGUAUACUGGACCUGUUAUUGUUGUAAAUUCUUUAUCAGAAGAAGUUGUGCACAAUUUUUUAUUAUUUUCUUCAGCAAUACAUAUUCUAGUAAGUCCAUCGCUCUGUCAGAAAUAUGCUGAUUAUGCUCAACAACUUUUAGUAUCAUUUAUCAGUCAUUCUUCUAAUCUUUAUGGUCCAUCAUCAGUUGUUUAUAAUAUGCAUGCUGUUAUUCAUUUACCAGAAGAUGUAAAGCGUUUUGGUUCACUUGAUAAUUUUUCCGCCUUUCCAUUUGAAAACUUUCUUGGCAGGUUAAAACGAUUAAUUAGAAAACCAAGUUUCCCACUUUCUCAGUUAGUUACUAGAUUGUUGGAAUUAAAGCAUAUGCCACAUUUUCCUAAAUUUGAAACCCCUAGUUUGCAUCAGAAAUUUGGUCUUAAAAAGGAACAUUCUAAUGGCCCAUUAGUUGCUGGAGAGAUGUGUGUUUCCUGUUCUCAGUUUAAACAAGCAACUAUCAAUAAUAUUUUGAUUGGUAUAGGUUUAGCUGACUCUUGUGUACAGAUUGAAAAAAAAGUUGUAUUAAUAAAAAAUAUAAUUUUACAUGCAAAUAAAGUAUAUGUAAUUUAUCAAUUUUUUUCAAGCUGUAAAAGUUUUUUCUUAUAUCCAUUAGAAUCUUCUCUAUUGGAUAUUUUGGUUGUUUCUGAUGUUGACAAACAUCUUAAUAUAGCUAGUGCAGAAUCCAUAACUUGCAAAUAUGUAAGACUACCAUAUCAAAAUAAACAUGUAGUUUUUCCGUUAAGGCACACUUUGUGCAAAUAGAAUCAGCAUCAUGUCAAUCAUGUCUGAUCUGGUAGGCUGUUAUAGAUCUAUAAUACUAAUAGUAAAAGUUUCAUUAAAGAAAUAAAUUCAUACUUCUUGGCUAAAUUGUUAGUCUUAAAAACACCUACAAUAUGCUUCAGAAGGAAAUUAAUGUAAUUUUUUAAGUUUUUGACAGUCAAAAUAUGUAACUUAAAUAAUUCUUCUCUGGGUUGCUAAUAAAUUCUAGACAUAAAAAAUAAUUACACAUAGGUAUUUUAACUAAUAAAUUUGUAAACUGAAUUUUAUGGGUUAUGUGGGUACAAUAAAGUAAAAAUCAAUAUUAUAAUAUAAUCUAAUAUUUCUUAAGAUGUAUAUAUAGAAUAUUUACAUUUUAUGUAGAAAUAAAUUAAGCUAGGAGCAGAAAAUGUAUGUUGUAACUAUACAUAUUAUUAAACACUAAUUUAAUUAUUGUCUAGAAUGUGGGCUGUGGCUAUUUUUAAUGAAACUGAAGAAGUUGAGGCUGUACCCAUUGCCUGGCUAUCACCAUGCCAGACCAUUGUGUCAUGGCCACCUUUCAAGGCUACAAAGGUUUUGAAAUGCAUGAAAGAGCAGCAGCCAGCUGACAAAACAUGGCCUACCUAUCAAGUUAGGAUCCUUAGACGCUAUGAAAACUUUGAGGAAGCCAAAAAAGGGUCCAUUUUGGCACAGGAGACCUCCGACUUAAAUGAGGAUAUUUCUCUUCUACCCUUAGGCAGAGGAGCACGUGUGACAAAAAAGAGGACUUUUUCAAGUUCUGAGGAAGAAAUUCAGCCAUUCAAAAAAAAUGGCUGAGAAAGCUGUCACACAACUACCGGUACCACCAAAGGUUCCCAAAGAUUUAGCGUCAGGCGAAUCGAGACUUGGAAAUGAAUCAACAAUCAAUAUCUUAAAAACCCUGGUAGAGGUUAAGCACCAGGUGAUAUCACUCUCUCAAUAAGUGGUUGGGUUAGCUGACACUGUCCAGCAACUCAAAGAUGUAAUUGCACAGCAGGCGAGGGUGAUAGCAUCACUACAACCUCCACCAGCGGAAGAAAAUUUUGAUGUGAACCUGCCCCUUUCUAGCCUGGAAGAAUUUGACUUUCAUGAAGAAAAGUUGUCUGAUGAUAUAUAUAGAAAGUUUUUGAUAGCAAAAUUGUCACAUUUUGGUGGCAUACAUUUAAAGCAUACCAUUAAAAAAAUAUUGGACUAUAUGAUGACAACAACACUGCAAUGUCAAUUCAAUUGGGCUGGUAAACCAGGCUGGAAAGGGAAUGGAGUGGCUAGAAGAGGAUUUCAACAUUGCCAACUUUGUUUAGUAAUUGCAGAUUCUGUUCGACUCACAAAAAACAUGGAAAGAACAACUAACGAAGAGGUAUUUUCUUCAAUUAAAAUUUACUUAAGAAAUGCACGUGACAGGCAAGGUGGUGACAGGCAAGGUGGUCGACAAAGAAGACUGGAGACAGAUGCUGUUGGAGAGAUGGUCUGGCAUGGCGACAGCCAGGCAAUGGGUACAGCGUCAACUUCUUCUGUUUCAUUGAAAUUAGCCACAGCCCACAUUCUAGACAAUUAUUAAAUUAGUGUUUAAUAAAUAUGUAUGGUUACAACAUUCGUUUUCUGCUCCUAGCCUAAUUUUUUUAAUGACUUUUUUCAACGUUUAUAAUUAAAUUAAUUUUUUAAAUUUUUACUUUCUGUUGUAGAUAAAUAAUUUUGUAAAUAUAAUUAUUACUUUUUUAUAUGUAUAAAUAUUUUUAUUUUUGUGCAAAACAUUUUUUUUAUUCAGUUAUUAAAAUUUUAGAUUUUCUUUCUUUUUUUUUUUGUACAUUUAUAUUUUAUUGUAUCCUUGAUGAUUGUAAGCUUUAAAGCUUUUUUUUUAACUUUAUUUUUAUUGUCUUAAAUUAGAGGUUAUGUUCAUUAAGCACACUGAUAUAGGUUUAUUUCUAUUUUAUUAUAUUAAAUACCAUUUGUGUCCAAAGUUUUUUUUCUCCUGUAUUUUUUUUUUAAAUCUCAGUCAAAAUUUCUAAUUUAAUAGUUUGAUGAAAAUAGUUUUUCUUAAAUGAGACAUUACUUUUAACAUUACAUUUUUUUUUGUCACAGUUAUUUUUGUGUCUCACAUACAUUUACAUUUUUCUUUUUCACUGUUUAAUUAAAUUUUGUAUUAGCUUUAUUAAGUUCGAAUUUUAUAACAAGUUUUAUCUGAUUCUGGCGUCAUCAUUUUUAAUAAUAAAUAAAUCCUUAAAAUGAA
This is an RNA transcript of Biomphalaria glabrata, 6133 nucleotides long. RefSeq lists it as uncharacterized. NCBI's taxonomy places the organism in Eukaryota, Metazoa, Mollusca, Gastropoda, Planorbidae. The transcript has 7 exons. The record is from RefSeq and is a predicted model, not a curated record.